CAAUAGCGUAUAUUAAAGUUGUUGCAGUUAGAACGCUCGUAGUCGGAUUUCGGGGCGGGCCGACCGGUCUGCCGAUGGGUACGCACUGGUCGGCGCGUCCUUCCUUCCGGAGACCGUGCCUACUCUUAACUGAGCGGGGGCGGGAGACGGAUCGUUUACUUUGAAAAAAUCAGAGUGUUUCAAGCAGGCAGCUCGCUCUUGCAUGGAUUAGCAUGGGAUAAUGAAAUAGGACUUUGGUGCUAUUUUGUUGGUUUCGAACACCGAAGUAAUGAUUAACAGGGACAGUCAGGGGCACUCGUAUUCCGCCGAGAGAGGUGAAAUUCUCAGACCAGCGGGAGACGAACUACUGCGAAAGCAUUUGCCAGGGAUGUUUUCACUGA
RNAcentral lists this ribosomal RNA (380 nucleotides) under uncultured eukaryote. Its description in RNAcentral is "partial 18S ribosomal RNA". It matches the Rfam family "Eukaryotic small subunit ribosomal RNA", at positions 592 to 976 of the family's 1831-position model. The record is from RNAcentral.